AAAAUACUAGAUAUAGAAACAAAAGGGGCUAAAAUCAAACACUAACUAUCUAACGUUCACUCAGUCUCAGCCCCGCCCAGCAAAUCAAUCUCGAUACCUGGGUAAGCAACCAUACACCACAUUAGUCGGAUUAAGCAUACAAAUAAAUAAAUAUAAAAAUUAAUUUAAGCGACUGAUUUUUAAUUUGUAAAUUUCAGAAAAUAAAAAUUAUCAAAACUUAAAAUUCAGAUCAGAUUGAAACUAUAAAUUUACAAAGCAUUUCUCUUUCAACAAAUAAACGAAAUAAAUAUUAAGUAUCCGACAACUAACUAUAUUAUAUGAUCCGUUGGCAAGAUCCAGAAGCACCCGAAGGCGCAAACAGAACAGAGGCACUCGAAGGUGCAUAUACAAAACAGAGGCACCCGAAGGUACAAAUAGAAUAGAGGCGCGGAUAGGCGCAGGCACCCGAAGGCAUAAUACAGAAAAAAAGCUCGCUUCUAUAACAAAAUACAUGUCGACAUGGCCAACAUUAGCAUAGCAGAAUACCAAGAGACAUCAUACUUCAAAAUUUAUCCAGUCACUAAUUUACAGAACAAAUUAUCAAAUUUCAAAAAUUCUUUUUGUUAAAAGAACUUAUCAAUCACAGUUGAAGCUCAAUUUACAGAAAUAUUUAAUAAUAUACUUAACCCUUAAUUUUAAAAUCUACAAAAUAAGAUUUUCACACAAUCAAAAUAUUUUUCUAAAUUAUUUUAUAAAAAACUAACGGGUGUCCGGUCGCUUACUUUAAUGCAGUUUCGUAGAUAAAAUGCCAUACGGUCGACAAUCACAUGAAAAAUCAAUUAUCGGAAUCUAAAAUAGAGAAAUACAAUUCUCUAUUAGCUACUCAAAAUAAACUUAUAAAGAGAACAUAUAUACAUUUAGAAGGCAAGCUUAUACAAAAUUUAAAUUCGGAAAGAUUCAUAUAGGUU
This 947-nucleotide long non-coding RNA is filed under the name Ananas comosus (pineapple). Its description in RNAcentral is "long non-coding RNA (ACOM_LNC033447)". Lineage: Eukaryota; Viridiplantae; Streptophyta; Magnoliopsida; Poales; Bromeliaceae. The record is from RNAcentral.